UACAGGGGGUGCAAACGUUGCUCGGAAUCAUUGGGCGUAAAGCGCACGUAGGCGGUUUGUUAUGUCGGAUGUGAAAGCCCUUGGCUCAACUGAGGAAGUGCAUCCGAAACUGGCAAGCUAGAGUACUAAAGAGGGUCGCGGAAUUCCCGGUGUAGAGGUGAAAUUCGUAGAUAUUCGCAGGAACACCAGUGGCGAAGGCGGCUUACUGGUCCAUUACUGACGCUGAGGUGCGAAAGCGUGGGGAGCAAACAGG
RNAcentral lists this ribosomal RNA (253 nucleotides) under uncultured bacterium. Its description in RNAcentral is "partial 16S ribosomal RNA". It matches the Rfam family "Bacterial small subunit ribosomal RNA", at positions 524 to 776 of the family's 1533-position model. The record is from RNAcentral.